CUCUGUGACUCCUACGGGAGGCAGCAGUGGGAAUAUUGCACAAUGGGGGAAACCCUGAUGCAGCCAUGCCGCGUGUGUGAAGAAGGCCUUCGGGUUGUAAAGCACUUUCAGUAGGGAGGAAGGUAGUGUAGUUAACACCUGCAUUAUUUGACGUUACCUACAGAAGAAGCACCGGCUAACUCCGUGCCAGCAGCCGCGGUAAUACGGAGGGUGCGAGCGUUAAUCGGAAUUACUGGGCGUAAAGCGCAUGCAGGCGGCCUGUUAAGUCAGAUGUGAAAGCCCGGGGCUUAACCUCGGAAUUGCAUUUGAAACUGGCAGGCUAGAGUCUUGUAGAGGGGGUAGAAUUUCAGGUGUAGCGGUGAAAAUGCGUAGAGAUCUGAAGGAAUACCAGUGGCGAAGGCGGCCCCCUGGACAAAGACUGACGCUCAGAUGCGAAAGCGUGGGGAGCAAACAGGAUUAGAUACCCUGGUAG
Molecule: ribosomal RNA, 472 nt
Filed under: uncultured bacterium
Lineage: Bacteria
Description: bacterial SSU rRNA
Rfam family: Bacterial small subunit ribosomal RNA
Source: RNAcentral